Molecule: ribosomal RNA, 255 nt
Filed under: uncultured bacterium
Lineage: Bacteria
Description: partial 16S ribosomal RNA
Rfam family: Bacterial small subunit ribosomal RNA
Source: RNAcentral
UACGGGGGGGGCAAGCGUUGUUCGGAAUUACUGGGCGUAAAGGGCUCGUAGGCGGCCAACUAAGUCAGACGUGAAAUCCCUCGGCUUAACCGGGGAACUGCGUCUGAUACUGGAUCGCUUGAGGGUCGGAGAGGGGCGUGGAAUUCCGGGUGGAGCGGUGAAAUGCGUAGAGAUCCGGAGGAACACCGACGGCGUAGGCAGCGCCCUGGACGACACCUGACGCUGGAGGCACGAAAGCUGGGGGGAGCGAACAGG